This 72-nucleotide transfer RNA is filed under the name Camelus bactrianus (Bactrian camel). It matches the Rfam family "tRNA". Rfam says of the family: Transfer RNA (tRNA) molecules are approximately 80 nucleotides in length. Their secondary structure includes four short double-helical elements and three loops (D, anti-codon, and T loops). Further hydrogen bonds mediate the characteristic L-shaped molecular structure. tRNAs have two regions of fundamental functional importance: the anti-codon, which is responsible for specific mRNA codon recognition, and the 3' end, to which the tRNAs corresponding amino acid is attached (by aminoacyl-tRNA synthetases). tRNAs cope with the degeneracy of the genetic code in two manners: having more than one tRNA (with a specific anti-codon) for a particular amino acid; and 'wobble' base-pairing, i.e. permitting non-standard base-pairing at the 3rd anti-codon position. The record is from Rfam by way of RNAcentral. RNAcentral also lists the same sequence under 2 other names. Lineage: Eukaryota; Metazoa; Chordata; Mammalia; Artiodactyla; Camelidae.
GAGGGUGUAACUCCAUGGUGGAGCAUGUGCUUAGCAAGCACAAGGUCCUGGGUUCAAUCCCCAGUGCCUCCA